UACGGAGGGUGCAAGCGUUAUCCGGAUUCACUGGGGUUAAAGGGUGCGUAGGUGGCUUUGUAAGUCAGUGGUGAAAGCCCGGAGCUUAACUCCGGAACUGCCAUUGAUACUGCUUAGCUUGAAUCAGGUCGAGGUGGAUGGAAUAUUACAUGUAGCGGUGAAAUGCUUAGAUAUGUAAUAGAACACCGAUUGCGAAGGCAGUUCACUAGGCCUGAAUUGACACUGAGGCACGAAAGCGUGGGGAUCAAACAGG
Molecule: ribosomal RNA, 253 nt
Filed under: uncultured bacterium
Lineage: Bacteria
Description: partial 16S ribosomal RNA
Rfam family: Bacterial small subunit ribosomal RNA
Source: RNAcentral